This is a small nucleolar RNA of Dioscorea cayenensis subsp. rotundata (Guinea yam), 107 nucleotides long. NCBI's taxonomy places the organism in Eukaryota, Viridiplantae, Streptophyta, Magnoliopsida, Dioscoreales, Dioscoreaceae. The record is from RefSeq and is a predicted model, not a curated record.
AACCCAUGCUGAGGGCAUUUCCGCAAGAGAUCCUUGAACCUGUCCCAUGUCUCAAAAAGAAACUUCAAUUCCGUUUGUACAAAAGAAGAUAUCUCAUUCCUAAGGUU